Molecule: ribosomal RNA, 253 nt
Filed under: uncultured prokaryote
Description: partial 16S ribosomal RNA
Rfam family: Bacterial small subunit ribosomal RNA
Source: RNAcentral
UACGUAGGGGGCGAGCGUUGUCCGGAAUUACUGGGCGUAAAGCGCGCGUAGGUGGCUUGCUAAGACCGAUGUGAAAUCUCCGCGCUUACCGUGGAGAGGUCGUUGGUGACUGGCAGGCUUGGGUUCGGCAGAGGUGAGUGGAAUUCCGGGUGGAGCGGUGAAAUGUGUUGAUAUCGGAAGGAACGCCGGUGGCGAAAGCGACACACUGGAUCUUGUCUGACGCUGAGGCACGAAAGCCAGGGGAGCGAACGGG